CAAUAGCGUAUAUUAAAGUUGUUGCAGUUAAAAAGCUCGUAGUUGGAUUUCUGGUUGAAGCGACCGGUCGGGCGUUGAUUCGUCUGCACUGGAGUCGGUUUUGGCCAUCCUCUAGGAAAGUGCGUCUGGUAUUAAGUUAUCGGGCGUAUGAUCCUGGUCUUUUACUGUGAAAAAAUUAGAGUGUUUAAAGCAGGCCUUCGCCUUGAAUACAUUAGCAUGGAAUAAUAAGAUAGGACUUUGGUCUAUUUUGUUGGUUUGCAGACCGAAGUAAUGAUUAAUAGGGAUAGUUGGGGGUAUUUAUAUUCCGAUGUCAGAGAUGAAAUUCUUAGAUUUUCGGAAGAUAAACUUAUGCGAAAGCAUUUACCAAGGAUGUUUUCAUUAA
RNAcentral lists this ribosomal RNA (382 nucleotides) under uncultured eukaryote. RNAcentral describes it as "partial 18S ribosomal RNA". It matches the Rfam family "Eukaryotic small subunit ribosomal RNA", at positions 592 to 976 of the family's 1831-position model. The record is from RNAcentral.